CAGUCGCCGCGGGAAUACGAAGGGGGCUAGCGUUGCUCGGAAUUAUUGGGCGUAAAGGGUGCGUAGGCGGUUCAGCAAGUCUCGUGUGAAAUCUUCGGGCUCAACCCGAAGUCUGCACGGGAAACUACUGGGCUUGAGUAAUGGAGAGGUGAGUGGAAUUUCCGGUGUAGCGGUGAAAUGCGUAGAUAUCGGAAGGAACACCUGUGGCGAAAGCGGCUCACUGGACCAUAACUGACGCUGAGGCACGAAAGCUAGGGGAGCAAACAGGAUUAGAUACCCCCGUAGUCCCUGUCUCUUAUAC
RNAcentral lists this ribosomal RNA (301 nucleotides) under uncultured bacterium. RNAcentral describes it as "partial 16S ribosomal RNA". It matches the Rfam family "Bacterial small subunit ribosomal RNA", at positions 509 to 807 of the family's 1533-position model. The record is from RNAcentral.